UUUUCCUCUAGGCACAGAAUAGAGGAAAAGAAUGCUGGGAAACUUCUGUCUCAUGCUUAUACUGGAAAGAGAAGGCAGGAAGCAAUAUGAUGCUAAUCACAUGCCAAGAAUCCUUUAGGGGAAGUGAGAGCUUUCCAGCCUGUGUUCCACAGGAAGGCAUCAUUACAUUGAUUGUUGGAUACGUUAGUCUGCAAUAUCUGCCGUGAUUACAGCACCUCUCCCCUGGACAGUGGGAGGGAGGUAAGAGGAAGCGGAGGACACACCGGGUAAAAAUCUAGAAGCCAAGCAUAUUACUUCUGGCUCACAGGCUUAUCUUUGUGUUGACAAGGAGAGACUGUACCAAGAGAGAAAAUGAUAGGAGAGGUAAGAGAAGAUCGAAACAAACGACAAUGGAGAGUCAAACAAUGCCUCUUAUCACUUCCAUAGGUCAUGAUGAAUUGCAGACAGACAGACAUUCCCAGCCAGUUCUCAUCCUGAAUGGUCCUCUUGGCUCCCCUUACCCUCCAGGGAGUGGGAAACAGAAAAUGAGAAGGUUUAGAAGUGUUCGAAAGGCAGAGUUAUCCAUUGACUUGUGCACAUGUAUUUUUGAGAUUUAUCGUCGUCAUUGCAUUUGCACAGAUUGGCGGCGGCACUUCUUCAGGGUAGACUAAUGUUUUCGCUUGUCGUGUUUGGCACAAAUUGGGUCUUUAGUGCUGAUUAUGGUCUAAUUCGCAAUUUGAAAAUAAUCCUGCCACCCAUCAGCGGCACGGCAGUAACUCCCGCAGCCUCCCUGGCUGCUUCCUGUUAGGAUCUGCAAGUGAAAGUCAUAUUUUCUGGCAGUCAGAAUUUCCACUUUACAUUUCCUAAUAGCAUUUUUCAUUAGACCUCUGCAAAAGAACCCUGGCACAGCCUGAGACUCAGGGACAGAAUGUGCACACCAAUGGCACUUCUCGCCAUUCCUGCCAUUUGUCCCUACAUGCACUCUGUUCAAAGCGUCGCCCUCAAAUGCCAUUCUGAAACCGCAACAACAAACCUUCUCUCAGAAUGCUUCGGCAGAGCAGCCGAGGUCGUGCCAGGAAGCAAUGCGCCAAAGCCCAAUUACUCCCCCAAUGGCUGAGCAUCCUGCACAGAACUACACAAUGUUCCAUCUUCCUCUCAGUGCAGACUGGGGCAUAUUUUUUAGCCUCUUGUUUCCUGCCAUUUCUAGAUGCUGAGAUUAUGUCACACACUAAACAGGGAAGGAGAUAGUAAGCGUAUGUCACUUACCUGGGCAAAGUUCCAUAGACAACCAGUACAUGCGAUUGCUUUGGCUGCUUUGUUUUGUGUGGCAUUGAGAAGCUGCUGGCACUAUUAGAGCUAAGGACCCCCCUGGGACUGGGCACUCAGAAGGACCUUAGGGACUAUUCAGGAGCAUCAGCAGGAGGACUGUGGGACACAAUUGGUUAUCCAGGGCUAUACAUUGAACCCCAGUUUCAGAAAAGCAGAAAAGAAUGACCAAUAGUCAACUUGUAUUCUUAGGUCAUCAUGCUACCUUGGUUGAGCAUCAACAGCCAUGGACCUAUAGAGGUAAUCUGAUUCAAAUCAUCUUUACUGUGUCAUUUCUUUUGAAGAAUGGCAGGUCCGCAGAUGGAAAGAUUAAGUGUGAGAUUAUUUCCUUUCUUGUCUUUCUCCAUUCACCAUCCAAAUCUGUCAAUGUCUGUAAUGAAUGAUUAGGGUGAGUAAGAACAGUGCCCAAUGAGCCCCCACGAAAUAAAGAACAGAGAGCCACGUGUUUUUCA
This is a long non-coding RNA of Peromyscus californicus insignis, 1757 nucleotides long. RefSeq lists it as uncharacterized. Lineage: Eukaryota; Metazoa; Chordata; Mammalia; Rodentia; Cricetidae. The record is from RefSeq and is a predicted model, not a curated record. The transcript has 5 exons.